This 345-nucleotide unclassified non-coding RNA is filed under the name soil metagenome. Its description in RNAcentral is "partial contains 5.8S ribosomal RNA, internal transcribed spacer 2, and large subunit ribosomal RNA". The stretch from base 1 to 120 matches the Rfam family "5.8S ribosomal RNA", at positions 35 to 154 of the family's 154-position model. The record is from RNAcentral.
GAUGAAGAACGCAGCGAAAUGCGAUACGUAAUGUGAAUUGCAGAAUUCAGUGAAUCAUCGAGUCUUUGAACGCACAUUGCGCCCCCUGGUAUUCCGGGGGGCAUGCCUGUCCGAGCGUCAUUGCUGCGCUCAAGCACGGCUUGUGUGUUGGGCCUCCGUCCUCCUCCCGGGGGACGGGCCCGAAAGGCAGCGGCGGCACCGCGUCCGGUCCUCGAGCGUAUGGGGCUUCGUCACCCGCUCUUGUAGGCCCGGCCGGCGCUUGCCGACACAUCAAUCUUUUUUCCAGGUUGACCUCGGAUCAGGUAGGGAUACCCGCUGAACUUAAGCAUAUCAAUAAGCGGAGGA